This 1491-nucleotide ribosomal RNA is filed under the name uncultured prokaryote. RNAcentral describes it as "partial 16S ribosomal RNA". It matches the Rfam family "Bacterial small subunit ribosomal RNA". The record is from RNAcentral.
AGAGUUUGAUCCUGGCUCAGGAUGAACGCUAGCGGCAGGCUUAACACAUGCAAGUCGAACGGUAACAUGAGAGCUUGCUCUUGAUGACGAGUGGCGCACGGGUGCGUAACGCGUAUACAAUCUACCUUUAACUGGGGGAUAGCCAGAAGAAAUUCUGAUUAAUACCCCAUAACAUUUCAAAAAGGCAUCUUUUUGUUUUUAAAACUCCGGUGGUUAAAGAUGAGUAUGCGUCCCAUUAGCUUGUUGGUAAGGUAAUGGCUUACCAAGGCAACGAUGGGUAGGGGGCCUGAGAGGGUGAACCCCCACACUGGUACUGAGACACGGACCAGACUCCUACGGGAGGCAGCAGUGAGGAAUAUUGGUCAAUGGACGAAAGUCUGAACCAGCCAUGCCGCGUGCAGGAAGACUGCCCUAUGGGUUGUAAACUGCUUUUAUACGGGAAGAAACACCGCUACGUGUAGCGGCUUGACGGUACUGUAAGAAUAAGGAUCGGCUAACUCCGUGCCAGCAGCCGCGGUAAUACGGAGGAUCCAAGCGUUAUCCGGAAUCAUUGGGUUUAAAGGGUCCGUAGGUGGAUAAUUAAGUCAGAGGUGAAAUCUUGCAGCUCAACUGUAAAAUUGCCUUUGAUACUGUUAAUCUAGAGUUUAGUUGAAGUAGGCGGAAUGUAGCAUGUAGCGGUGAAAUGCAUAGAUAUGCUACAGAACACCGAUUGCGAAGGCAGCUUACUAAGCUAAAACUGACGCUCAGGCACGAAAGCGUGGGGAUCAAACAGGAUUAGAUACCCUGGUAGUCCACGCUGUAAACGAUGAUCACUCGUUGUUGGCGAUACACAGUCAGCGACUGAACGAAAGUAUUAAGUGAUCCACCUGGGAAGUACGAUCGCAAGGUUGAAACUCAAAGGAAUUAACGGGGGCCCGCACAAGCGGUGGAGCAUGUGGUUUAAUUCGAUGAUACGCGAGGAACCUGGAAUCUUACCUGGGCUUAAAUGUUUAAUGACCGUCCCCGAAAGGGGACCUUCCUUCGGGACAUUUUACAAGGUGCUGCAUGGUUGUCGUCAGCUCGUGCCGUGAGGUGUCGGGUUAAGUCCCAUAACGAGCGCAACCCCUAUUCUUAGUUGCCAUCAGGUCAAGCUGGGGACUCUAAGAAAACUGCCUACGCAAGUAGUGAGGAAGGUGGGGAUGACGUCAAAUCAGCACGGCCCUUAUGUCCAGGGCUACACACGUGCUACAAUGGUCGAUACAGAGGGUCGCUACCUGGUGACAGGAUGCUAAUCUCAAAAAUCGAUCUCAGUUCGGAUCGAAGUCUGCAACUCGACUUCGUGAAGUCGGAUUCGCUAGUAAUCGCAUAUCAGCAACGAUGCGGUGAAUACGUUCCCGGGCCUUGUACACACCGCCCGUCAAGCCAUGGAAGCUGGGGGUACCUGAAGUUCGUGACCGUAAGGAGCGACCUAGGGUAAAACUAGUAACUGGGGGCUAAGUCGUAACAAGGUAA